Molecule: ribosomal RNA, 696 nt
Filed under: uncultured bacterium
Lineage: Bacteria
Description: bacterial SSU rRNA
Rfam family: Bacterial small subunit ribosomal RNA
Source: RNAcentral
AACGCUAGCUACAGGCUUAACACAUGCAAGUCGCGGGGUAACAUCUGGGAGAGCUUGCUCUUCCAGGAUGACGACCGGCGCACGGGUGAGUAACGCGUAUCCAACCUGGCCCAUACCACGGGAUAGCCCGUCGAAAGGCGGAUUAAUACCGUAUGCUGUCAUCAAGAUGCAUAUAUUGAUGACGAAAGGACUGGCGGUAUGGGAUGGGGAUGCGUCUGAUUAGCUUGUUGGCGGGGUAACGGCCCACCAAGGCGAUGAUCAGUAGGGGUUCUGAGAGGAAGGUCCCCCACAUUGGAACUGAGACACGGUCCAAACUCCUACGGGAGGCAGCAGUGAGGAAUAUUGGUCAAUGGGCGCAAGCCUGAACCAGCCAAGUAGCGUGAGGGAAGACUGCCCUACGGGUUGUAAACCUCUUUUGUUUGGGAAUAAAGUGCGGGACGUGUCCCGCAUUGCAUGUACCAUUUGAAUAAGGACCGGCUAAUUCCGUGCCAGCAGCCGCGGUAAUACGGAAGGUCCGGGCGUUAUCCGGAUUUAUUGGGUUUAAAGGGAGCGUAGGCCGGAGAUUAAGCGUGUUGUGAAAUGUAGAUGCUCAACAUCUGCACUGCAGCGCGAACUGGUUUCCUUGAGUACGCACAAAGUGGGCGGAAUUCGUGGUGUAGCGGUGAAAUGCUUAGAUAUCACGAAGAACUCCGAUUG